CCUAUGUAACAGCUACAUUAAAAAAGAAUAAAAUAAAAAAAUAGUAAGUAAUCAUAACGAUGAUGAUGAUGAUGAUGAUAAUAAUAAUAAUGAAAAUAAUAAUAAUAAUCCAUGUUCUAAGGGACACAUUAUAUGACCAGUAGAGAACCGAGGAGAGGGAGGGUCCAUGCGGUCAUGGCUUCCGCCUUUCUCUCUCUCCCUCUCUCUCUCUCUCUGUAGAUCUAGCGUCUGUAGGCUUCAGGGGGCCUGCUGCUAUGUCUCCGCCAGAUAAUGACACAGAGAGAGAGGGAGAGAGAACACUGAGGAUGGUAGUGGAUGGGAUGGGGAGAAGAUAUUUUGCUGACCUGAUAAAUUUUGCCACGGCCAGGUUAAUGGAGGUCAGAUAGGGACUUCAGAGACUCCACACAAGAAACACGUGCAGGGGACACCCAACUCGGCCCUGCCCUAGGACAGAAGCAGGUAUACUGUAGAGGCGAGACGUUGUGAACGAGAGUGAUUUCCAGUCCACAGGGGUUAAAUGAUUUGCCAACACGUUUUGACCGAUUCAAUCAAUACAUCGAGUCAGCGUGAAACGGGUCUCAUUAUCCUGCACUGAUCGCCCCAAGAAAGUGGCGAUAACAACUUUCCUUCAUGAUUCUCACUUUUCUUCUGUCAAACCUCAUCUUUUUCCCUCACUUAACUCCUAAUAAAAGUGAAAAAAAGUAAAAGACAGGGACGGCAUGAGCAGAGAGAGCACGACAGCCGACAGCAGCUGACUACCUCAUAAAAGAGCUGCUGAAAAGCAUAUUGAGGCAACUGUGACUAAAACCAGGCCAGAUAACAGGGAUUCAUGCCAUGGUUAGACUAGAAACAACUGGUGCUCAAUGUGUAGUUUGGGUAAGACAACUUAAUGCCCCAGAACUGAAGGCAGCAGUGCUCAUGCUGGCCACCAUCUCCCACAUCUCCCCACAUCCAAGCCUACCAUGAGCAGGAUGUCUUCAUGAUUCAUUAAUUCUGCUAAUCCAUCCUCAGUAAAAGAAACUGCAGGACUUUGGAGCCUGGGAGACCUGGUGUUCAUUUGUGGAACAUCCAGUAAGACGCACAUACAUUACUCAUUGUGUAAACUUACAUCUUAAAUCGUCCUAACAGAAAACUCCUGGUGCUAUCAUAAUCUCAUUCCUCCACUAGGUAUUUACAUUAAAUGUCAUUAUAAUGAUAGUAAUAAAUAAUUUUUUUCACAGAAACUGAGUAGAAUAUAAAUCAUGAGGAAAUUAAUAUAUGGGAAUAAAAGAAGAAAUCAUACAUUUGGGAAGGAGAGUCUUGGAAAAGUUUAAGAAAGAACACAAACUGUUUCCAAGAUACAUUAAAAGUAAAAUAACAGAAGGAAGAAAUACAUAAGCCCUCAAAAGAAAAUACAAAGAUGUGACCUUCAAGCAAGUAUUUAUGAGUGACUCAGAAUUUAGACUAACUGCAAAGAGAAAAGAAAAGGAUGGGGAAAAUAAGUUUAAAGAGAUACAGCAACUGAUAAAAAGACGAAGAGAGAAAUGUAACAUUCCACUCACAGAGUAAUGUCCCCAAGCAAUGACAUUUGUAAUAAUGUUUAGAAUUAUACAACAAAUAAAGUAAUCAACUAUUUCAGAUACUGAUAAAAUCACACAAAAAAGUAAUGCCUGCUAAAUUAUUUAUCUAUGCUAUACAGUAUACCUAUCUAUCUAUGGCAGUGGUUCCCAAACUGUAACACCUUUGCUCAGCACUGCACAUGGUGCCUGCUUUCUCAAAGUGAGGAGGUUUUUAAAGAUUUAAUAGGUAAGGAAUGAGGUUAUUAACGUGAUGAUAAUUUAGUUCUUUUGUAAAAACCUCUAAUUAAAUUUUGUUUGUACAUAAUUACUAAUGUCAUUGAAUUCUUAGAAAAUUAUUCACAAUUGCAUGUAAUAACCAUUUUCUGAAGAAUUAAGUAAAUGGUUAUUUGUAAUCAUCAGGUAUAAACCAAAGUCCCCUUGCAGAGACCUAUAAAACUCGCAACGUUUAAGAAUACCAGAUGCCCCCCCCAAAAAAAAAAAAAAAAAAUGUUGGGAACCAGUGAUCAAUAGGAAGAGAAUGAGCCCUGAAAGAUAUUAAUUUUCAGUAAAUCUUACCUCCACCAAGAUGUCCAUGUAGCAAGAGGUCCUCUUCCAGACAAGGAAUUGGGAUGAAGAAUCUUACAGUGUGUAGCUCUUGGUGGUGUCAUCUGUAAUAUUGUUAUCACAUUAGCAGGAAAAACUGAAUCUUCAUUUUCACUGUGAAUAACAUUAAGCAGUAUGAAACAUGACUUUGUUCCAGUGACUGUAACUUGCCAAUAGUAUGUGUGAUAGUAAUAAAUAGUAGUUGAACAAAUGGCAACAAUAUUCUCUUUGAGAAAUACAGAAAAUAUCUAGUACCAGACAUGACUAUAUUAAGUAUAUUUGCAGUCCUCUAGUCUUGCUGCAAUUACUAUGACUGAGAUGCAGUAUGUUGAAAUGAGGUCCAUAUUCUAUAGUUCUGGAACAUCCAUAACCU
Long non-coding RNA from Scylla paramamosain (green mud crab), 2514 nucleotides. RefSeq lists it as uncharacterized. NCBI's taxonomy places the organism in Eukaryota, Metazoa, Arthropoda, Malacostraca, Decapoda, Portunidae. The transcript has 4 exons. The record is from RefSeq and is a predicted model, not a curated record.